UCCUACGGGAGGCAGCAGUGGGGAAUAUUGCACAAUGGGGGGAACCCUGAUGCAGCCAUGCCGCGUGUGUGAAGAAGGCCUUCGGGUUGUAAAGCACUUUCAGUUGUGAGGAAAGGUUAGUAGUUAAUACCUGCUAGCUGUGACGUUAGCAACAGAAGAAGCACCGGCUAACUCCGUGCCAGCAGCCGCGGUAAUACGGAGGGUGCGAGCGUUAAUCGGAAUUACUGGGCGUAAAGCGCACGCAGGCGGAUUGUUAAGCUAGAGGUGAAAGCCCCGCGCUCAACGUGGGAAUUGCCUUUAGAACUGGCAGUCUAGAGUCUUGGAGAGGGGAGCGGAAUUCCAGGUGUAGCGGUGAAAUGCGUAGAUAUCUGGAGGAACAUCAGUGGCGAAGGCGACUCCCUGGCCAAAGACUGACGCUCAUGUGCGAAAGUGUGGGUAGCGAACAGGAUUAGAUACCCUGGUAGUCCACACCGUAAACGCUGUCUACUAGCUGUUUGUGUAUUUAAUACGUGAGUAGCGAAGCUAACGCGCUAAGUAGACCGCCUGGGGAGUACGGCCGCAAGGUUAAAACUCAAAUGAAUUGACGGA
RNAcentral lists this ribosomal RNA (588 nucleotides) under uncultured bacterium. RNAcentral's name for it is "bacterial SSU rRNA". It matches the Rfam family "Bacterial small subunit ribosomal RNA", at positions 337 to 917 of the family's 1533-position model. The record is from RNAcentral.